This is a long non-coding RNA of Ceratitis capitata (Mediterranean fruit fly), 870 nucleotides long. RefSeq lists it as uncharacterized. The transcript has 4 exons. NCBI's taxonomy places the organism in Eukaryota, Metazoa, Arthropoda, Insecta, Diptera, Tephritidae. The record is from RefSeq and is a predicted model, not a curated record.
UUCAAUUCAAAUAUUUCUCAACUUUGGUUGUGACAACAACAUUAAGUACAACGCGAAAAUCACACAAACUCAUACAUAUACGUAUGUAGUACGUGACAGUUGUUUUUAUUUACGGGCAAAUCUGAAUCACAACUGAUUGUGCUGAAAAGAAAUUUACCUGAACUUGCCGGAACUGGAACAUUUGAUUUUACGCAUACUUUUUGGAAUUGUGAGGGAACAAAUUCUUGCCAACAACACCAACUCAUCAAAAAAAACAAAAAACUCAGCGCUGAGCCCCACAGAUACCAAUUAAUAUAGUCGUUGUUGCAAUGGAAUGCAACCAGGUGGCAAAUGCCAGCACGCACACGCGUCGCACCGUUCAUGGACAAUGGCACCGUGGUGAAUGUGCUAAUAAAAAUUUCAUUGUGUAAUCAAAAUCAAAAUGCCAAAGCUUAACGCUGCUUUAAGCAACCCACAAAAUGUCACAACUGGACAAAGUAAUGUAUACGGUGACGGCUGCCAGUAUGUCAAUGACAGCGACAGAUGUUCAGGCGUGUCUUUGUACCCAAAAAAUGUUUGCAUUAAAACUCCAAUAACAACAAUGUGGUAUGUUGCUUGGUGUAAAAAGCAGAAAUAACAUAUUUGGUAAAAAAUGGCAAGUGUGAAAAGAUAUAUAAAUUAAAAUUUAACAAUAUACAUACAUACACAUAUGCAUACAUAUGACACGUGUGCAGUCAAGUGUCUUGGGAAAAAUAUUUCAACUAAACCGUAAUAAUAAAUGCAAGCAGGUGUGUGAGUGUAUAAACAACAAAUACAAGUUCAUAUGUGUGUAUGAAUAUGUCAGGCAUGUCACAGCGUGAGUUUGGCAAGUUGAAAGCUUGUGGCUGCCAA